This 1456-nucleotide ribosomal RNA is filed under the name uncultured bacterium. RNAcentral's name for it is "partial 16S ribosomal RNA". It matches the Rfam family "Bacterial small subunit ribosomal RNA", at positions 8 to 1328 of the family's 1533-position model. The record is from RNAcentral.
AGAGUUUGAUCCUGGCUCAGGACGAACGCUGGCGGCGUGCUUAACACAUGCAAGUCAAGGAGAAUUUCCCGACUUGUCGGGAUUAGUAAACUGGCGAACGGGUGAGUAACACGUAGGUAACCUGCCCCUGGAAUAGGGAUAACUUUGCUAACGCGAGGCUAAUACCUGAUAAUAUUUUUAAAUCGCAUGAUAAAAAAAUCAAAGUUGCCUUGAUUCGUCAGGGUAGCGCCCAGGGAUGGACCUGCGCCCCAUUAGCUUGUUGGUAGGGUAAUGGCCUACCAAGGCUACGAUGGGUAGCCGGCCUGAGAGGGUGACCGGCCACACUGGGACUGAGAUACGGCCCAGACUCCUACGGGAGGCAGCAGUGAGGAAUAUUGCGCAAUGGGCGAAAGCCUGACGCAGCAACGCCGCGUGGAUGAUGAAGCUCUAAGGAGUGUAAAGUCCUGUUAGGAGGGAAGAACAACUUUAAUUCGAAUAGGUUUAAGGUUUGACGGUACCUCCAGAGAAAGCCCCGGCUAACUCCGUGCCAGCAGCCGCGGUAAUACGGGGGGGGCAAGCGUUGUCCGGAAUUAUUGGGCGUAAAGAGCGCGUAGGCGGAAUGGUAAGUCAGAGGUGAAAACCACGGGCUCAACUCAUGGCCUGCCUUUGAAACUGCCAUUCUUGAGUACGGUAGAGGGAAGUGGAAUUCCUGGUGUAGCGGUGAAAUGCGUAGAUAUCAGGAAGAACACCGGUAGCGAAGGCGGCUUCCUGGCCCGUAACUGACGCUGAGGCGCGAAAGCGUGGGGAGCAAACAGGAUUAGAUACCCUGGUAGUCCACGCCGUAAACGAUGGGCACUAGGUGUUGGUCUGCGAUGAGUAGAUCAGUGCCGGAGCUAACGCAUUAAGUGCCCCGCCUGGGGAGUACGAUCGCAAGGUUGAAACUCAAAGGAAUUGACGGGGGCCCGCACAAGCGGUGGAGCAUGUGGUUUAAUUCGAUGCAACGCGAAGAACCUUACCUGGGCUUGAAGUGCAGUCGCAAUUCGCCGAAAGGUGAACCUCCUUCGGGACGGCUGUAGAGGUGCUGCAUGGCUGUCGUCAGCUCGUGCCGUGAGGUGUGGGUUAAGUCCCGCAACGAGCGCAACCCUUGCCCUUAGUUGCCAUCAGGUUAUGCUGGCACUCCAAGGGGACUGCCCCGAAAACGGGGAGAAGGGGGGAUGACGUCAGUCCUCAUGCCCUUACGUCCAGGCUCCCCGUGCUAAAUGUCGUAAGUGGGAGCAUCUGCAAUGACAAUCCUUAACCGUCUAGUCGAUGCAUCUCAUCGAUGCUGAGCGAUCCUAUACCGUUCAAGACCGUGAUCUCUCGACUGUCACCGCCGUCACCGAAGUCCCUACCGAUCCCUACUACUUUAAGAGCGUCCAGUGUGGGGUAGUGGUAGAUAUAAGUGAUCAAUCAUGAUAUCGCCGCGGCGCGCCAUAUG